GUAAAAUACAUUCAUUCAUUUUUAUUAAGAAUUUAUGUGAAAAAAGACUACAACAGUAACACUCAAUAAGUUUGAGGUUAAUUUAGUCUUUAUUUUAAUAUUAAGUGAGUGGUUUUCAUGCACAAAACAACUGACAUACUGUAGAACAAUGGCUCAGGCACAAAUGUCUUGAAAUCAAGAGCAAACAUACACACAAAAGUUACUUCAAAUAAUUGAGGUAAAAU
RNAcentral lists this long non-coding RNA (224 nucleotides) under Mytilus galloprovincialis (Mediterranean mussel). The record is from RNAcentral. Lineage: Eukaryota; Metazoa; Mollusca; Bivalvia; Mytilida; Mytilidae.